This 301-nucleotide ribosomal RNA is filed under the name uncultured bacterium. RNAcentral describes it as "partial 16S ribosomal RNA". It matches the Rfam family "Bacterial small subunit ribosomal RNA", at positions 509 to 807 of the family's 1533-position model. The record is from RNAcentral.
CAGUCGCCGCGGUAAUACAGAGGGUGCGAGCGUUAAUCGGAUUUACUGGGCGUAAAGCGUGCGUAGGCGGCUUCUUAAGUCGGAUGUGAAAUCCCUGAGCUUAACCUGGGAACUGCAUUUGAAACUGGCAGGCUAGAGUCUUGUAGAGGGGGGUAGAAUUCCAGGUGUAGCGGUGAAAUGCGUAGAGAUCUGGAGGAAUACCGGCGGCGAAGGCGGCCCCCUGGACAAAGACUGACGCUCAGGUGCGAAAGCGUGGGGAGCAAACAGGAUUAGAUACCCGCGUAGUCCCUGUCUCUUAUAC